This 180-nucleotide ribosomal RNA is filed under the name uncultured Glomeromycotina. RNAcentral describes it as "partial small subunit ribosomal RNA". The stretch from base 37 to 180 matches the Rfam family "Eukaryotic small subunit ribosomal RNA", at positions 684 to 830 of the family's 1831-position model. Lineage: Eukaryota; Fungi; Glomeromycota. The record is from RNAcentral.
AGACCGGUUUACUGGUCGUGCUUUUGUACGUACUGGUAUUAUUGGUUUCUCCUUUCUGACGAAUCAUAAUGCCAUUAAUUUGGUGUUUUGGGGAAUCAGGACUGUUACUUUGAAAAAAUUAGAGUGUUUAAAGCAGGCUCACGCUUGAAUACAUUAGCAUGGAAUAACGAAAUAGGACGU